Molecule: ribosomal RNA, 460 nt
Filed under: uncultured bacterium
Lineage: Bacteria
Description: partial 16S ribosomal RNA
Rfam family: Bacterial small subunit ribosomal RNA
Source: RNAcentral
CCUACGGGUGGCAGCAGUGAGGAAUAUUGGUCAAUGGACGCAAGUCUGAACCAGCCAUGUCGCGUGCAGGAAGACGGCUCUAUGAGUUGUAAACUGCUUUUGUACGAGGGUAAACGCAGACACGCGUAUCUUUUUGAAAGUAUCGUACGAAUAAGGAUCGGCUAACUCCGUGCCAGCAGCCGCGGUAAUACGGAGGAUUCAAGCGUUAUCCGGAUUUAUUGGGUUUAAAGGGUGCGUAGACGGUCGGAUAAGUUAGAGGUGAAAUCCCGAGGCUCAACUGUGGAAUUGCCAUUGAUACUGUUAGGCUAGAGAGUAGUUGAGGUAGGCGGAAGGUGUGGUGUAGCGGUGAAAUGCUUAGAGAUCAUACAGAACACCGAUUGCGAAGGCAGCUUACCAAGCUGCUACGGACGUUGAGGCACGAAAGCGUGGGGAGCAAACAGGAUUAGAUACCCGUGUAGUC